UAAGUGCAACUUUGAUAAU
RNAcentral lists this microRNA (19 nucleotides) under Ciona intestinalis (vase tunicate). Its description in RNAcentral is "cin-miR-4126-5p". Lineage: Eukaryota; Metazoa; Chordata; Ascidiacea; Phlebobranchia; Cionidae. The record is from miRBase by way of RNAcentral.